UACGUAGGGUCCGAGCGUUGUCCGGAAUUACUGGGCGUAAAGAGCUCGUAGGUGGUUUGUCGCGUUGUUCGUGAAAACUCACAGCUCAACUGUGGGCGUGCGGGCGAUACGGGCAGACUAGAGUACUGCAGGGGAGACUGGAAUUCCUGGUGUAGCGGUGAAAUGCGCAGAUAUCAGGAGGAACACCGGUGGCGAAGGCGGGUCUCUGGGCCGAUACUGACGCUGGAGGAGCGGAAAAGCCGUGGGGAGCGAACAGG
This 257-nucleotide ribosomal RNA is filed under the name uncultured bacterium. RNAcentral's name for it is "partial 16S ribosomal RNA". It matches the Rfam family "Bacterial small subunit ribosomal RNA", at positions 524 to 776 of the family's 1533-position model. The record is from RNAcentral.